This is a long non-coding RNA of Glossina fuscipes, 315 nucleotides long. RefSeq lists it as uncharacterized. The transcript is spliced from 3 exons. NCBI's taxonomy places the organism in Eukaryota, Metazoa, Arthropoda, Insecta, Diptera, Glossinidae. The record is from RefSeq and is a predicted model, not a curated record.
AAAAAAAAAAAAUAAAACAAAACAAAGAAUAUCCUUACCGUUCAGGAUCAAUGUGUUAAAAUGAUGUCCUAAAACACUAUCAUUGUGAAUAGCAUGAAUGCAUCAUGAACACUCCGGUGUAUGCAAUUUAAUUCGAAUAAUUAUAUGUGCCGGCAAUUAGCUUCUCCAGGAAUCUUCAGUUCACAAGAAUAUGGUGAAUAAUUUUAUCAAAAAUGCAUGAGCUAUGUCAACCGCAAGCUUAACAACAAUAGCAACAAUGCAAUAACAACAAAAAUAAUAACGAUAACAAUAGUCGGUGGCAGCUGUUAUUAUUGA